GAGCUAAACUCUAACGCACAAACAUACACCUAUCAACAAACAAAACAUUUGACCAACUGAGUAGAUGUGACUGAACAGUAAAUUAACUAAGUACCGCAAGGGGAAAUAAUCAAGCAAUAAAUAGCAAAGAUCAACCCUUGUACCUUUCGCAUCAUGGUCUAGCAAGAAAUCAAAGACAAGAAGAAUCAUUAGCCUCACCCCCGAAACCAGAUGAGCUAUUUUCAAGCAGCUAACGGGCGCACCCUUCUCUGUAGCAAAAGAGUGGGAAGACUUAAAAAUAGAGGUGAAACGCCUACCGAAUCUGGAGAUAGUCGGCUAUCCCAAAAAGUAUAUUAGUUCACCACAGAUACAAGAUCUUAUCACUCUGUGGAACUAAUAGGGGUACAGCCCUAUUGAAAUAGGAUACAACCUAAAUUUGAGAGAAACCACUACACAACCCCAGUAGGCCCUAAAGCAGCCACCCAACAAAAUAUCGUUAAAGAAUUAUUCAACUUUUAAACCCAACACUAACUUAAAACUCCAAAUUAACUAAGGGUAAACCCAUCACAAUGGGUACUAUUAUGCUAGAACUAAUAAUAAGACAACCUCUCUUUAUGCACCCUUCUGCUAAAACCGGACCAACCAUUAGCCAUUAACAGACCCCAUCUGGCACUAAACUAAACUCUACACAACUUAAAACAGACUGUCACCCCAACACAGGCGCAUCAAAAAGAAAGAUCCACCAUUAUAAAAGGAACUCGGCAAACAAAGACUCCAACUGUUUAACAAAAACAUAACCUUUAGACCAACAAAUAUUAAAGGCAACGCCUGCCCAGUGAACAUUAAACGGCCGCGGUACCCUAACCGUGCAAAGGUAGCAUAAUCAUUUGUCUACUAAUUAUAGACCUGUAUGAACGGCAAAAUGAGAGUCUAACUGUCUCUUAUAAUAAAUCAAUUAAACUGAUCUCCUAGUAAAAAAGCUAGAAUUCAACCAUAAGACCAGAAGACCCUGUGAAGCUUAAAUUAAAAUAUUAAACCUUAUAAUAACUACUUUCGGUUGGGGCGACCUUGGAAAAAAAAAAAACUUCCAAUAACACGACCUCCUUCGCACUACCACUCAGGCCACAAGCCAACUAACGACCCAGCAAAGUCGAUAAUCGAACCAAGUUACUCCAGGGAUAACAGCGCAUCCUCUUCAAGAGCCAUAUCAAGAAGGUUUACGACCUCGAUGUUGGAUCAGGACAUCCUAAUGGUGCAGACGCUAUUAAGGGUUCGUUUGUUCAACGAUUAA
This 1270-nucleotide ribosomal RNA is filed under the name Oligodon planiceps. Its description in RNAcentral is "partial 16S ribosomal RNA". It matches the Rfam family "Bacterial large subunit ribosomal RNA", at positions 536 to 2591 of the family's 2925-position model. The record is from RNAcentral. Lineage: Eukaryota; Metazoa; Chordata; Lepidosauria; Squamata; Colubridae.